GCCAAUUGAUGUUUCUGUUGCUGCUGCUGUUGGAGAUGAUAGUAGGGUACCUUCAUUGGGUAUCCGCGUCCUAUUGUUGCAUUCUCCGCUGAUUGUUGCGAUUUAUUCUCCAUUAUGUUUUUAAAUGAAGGGCAAUAAUUUCUAUGCUAACAAAUAAACACGGAGAGACAAAUGAAAGAAGAGUAAUUUACUUGUGUUGUGCGAGUAAUUUACUUGUGUUGUGCUCUCUUACUUGUGUGCACCCACUAUUUUUACCAAUUAAAGAUGUACUUUAACCAGAUAAACAAGGGGAGUGAGGACCACCACAUUAGUAACAAACGAAACCUUAUUUGUUUGAUCGAGUUGAUAGCUGGUGGAAUCAUCUGAGGAAAAAAAGCCUCACCGUCAUCCAAUUUUUUGUGUUGCUCGAAAAGAACAACAUCUCACAACCAAAAAAAAUUAUGAUUUAAACUCGAAAGAGGUUCAAUUAAACUGUGAUAAAGAGACAAUUCAAAUUCUAUAAAGUUAAAAUACAAAUAAUUGAAUAGGUUGUAAAGAAAACAUAACAACUAUUAAACAAAGCGUUGAACCGAAGGAAAUUAGCACAACAAUCAUGUUUCUAUUAGCAUUUCAAUAAAAAUUUAAUGAAUCAGACAUGAAUAUGGAUUCAAUUCAACUGUAAUCAACACAUACAAGUAACCAAACAAUCUCCAAAGACUAAUACAUAGCUUACAAAGUUAAACUUUGAAUUAUAACGCAUUAGCAUUUAGAAAGUUUGAAAGCAAGAGGUUUUAAUAAAACCUUCGAAAAAAAAUGAUUGUCAAAGUGAAAUCGAAUCAAAGUAAAAAUGAGUGAGUUGGGUUGAAUAUAUGUGUGUGUGUUGGGUUGUGUAGAAUUAUAUUGGAGAAAUAAUUAAUUUUAAUAAGAUAAAAAUAUUCAGUAACAGACGAGACUUCAUUUCUGUGAUCGAGGUGGUAGCUGGUGGAAUUAUCUGAGGAAAAAAUGCCUCACCCUCAUUCAAUUUUUUGUGUUGCUCGAAAAGAACAACUUGUCAACAACCAAAAAUAUUAUGAAUUGAACUCAUAAAGAAGUUCACGUAUAUGUUAUUUAAGACCAGUUUUUUGACGCGUGCUUUACACGUGCAUGUCACAUCAUGUAAUAUAUACUUUUAUAAAUAAUUUUACCUCAUUUGUUUUAACUGCUGAAGGAGAUGGUAAUAGGGUACCCACAUUGGUACACUCGCCGCUGCAGCCGUUGUAUUCUCUAUCAAUUGAUAUUCUCUUAUUUGCUACUGUUGGAAAUGGUAGUACAGUACCUGCAUUGGGUAUCUCGCCGCCACCGUCUUUGCUGCAUUCAAAACAUUCUCUACCGAUCAUUUCGAUUUAUUAUCCAUUGUACUUGGGGGAUAAUUUCUAUGUUUGCAACUACAGAGUGAGAAAAUGGAAGAAGAGUAGCCUAGUUGUGUUGUACGCUCUUACUAUUUGUACAAACUAAAUUUGUACUUAUUAUCAUAUAAACAGAGGGAGUAAGGCCACCACAUCAGUAACGGACGAAACCUCAUUUCUAGUCCGUAACCUCAUUUCUCUAUAAGUGGUAGCCGGUGAUUAACUCUUUUUUUGUUGAUAAAUUACUUUUUUUCUUUUCCUUUAUUGGGUUAAUUUUUAUUUACUAUUUUCUUUAUUAUUAUUAUUACUAUUUUUCUUUUCUUCAAUUAUUUUUUUCUCGUGUUACAUACUACAUAACUUGAAUUUUUUUUUUUUGUUUUGUUUUUAUUUCCUCCUAAUUUUUAUUUGUAAGUGAAUUAAAAAAAUUCUGUCACUCAACCAUGUUAGUAAUUUAUAUUUUUUAAUUAUAUUCUCUUUUCUGUUAGAGUAAGAAAAAUUAGAUAUUGAAAAUUUGAAAUUGAAUCUCAUAAAUAAUAAAUUUGUCUUUUGUGAGUCUAUAUGAUAUUGUUUAUUAUGAUUUAAUAUUAGCAUUAAAGAGAUUUCUAAUACUUAGAAAUUAAAGAAUCAUCAUAUUCUUUUUAUUAUUAAUGGCAUCUCUUAUAUUACAAAAUUUAAAGCUAGUAGAGUCAAGAAAUGAAUCAAAUUUAAAUGGAUUGGAUUCUAAAUAAAUCUUAAUAUUGAUUUUAAUUUUUUUGAUAUCCUUUUCCUUAAAUUUUAGAGUUGCUCCAUCAUUAAAUAGACACCAAAAUAAAAACUAAAAUAUCUUUUAAUUGAUCAUAAACUAAAAAUAUGUAAAAUAUAUUAAAAUAUUCUUUACUUUUUGUAAUUUUAAACAUGUCAUGUGAUAAGUUAAAAUUAAAAUUUUUCAGAAAAUGAAAAUACAUUUUUUCAAAUGGACUUGUAAAAAAGUGACACAAAUAAAAUAAAACAAAAAAUGUACUAUAUAAAUUUUAUUUGGUUACAAAUAUCUACAAAUAAGAACUUAGGAGGAAAAAAGCCCAUCAAUUUGAUCAGUUUCAUGAUCACGAAAAAGAUUGAAAAGAAAAAGUAAAAAAAAAGUAUUCACAUAUAUGUUAUUUAAGACUAUUUUUUUGACACGUGCAAAGCACGUGUAUGCCAAAUCAUUUAAUAUAUAAUUUUAUAAUUAACUUUAGUUCAUUUAUUGUUGGCACUGAAGAAGAUGGUAAUAGGGUACCCACAUUGGUACCCCUAUCCCUGCCACAACUGCAUUCUCCACCAAUUGAUGUUCCCAAUGGUUGUUGGAAAUGGUAGUAAGGCACCUACAUUGGGUACCCACCUCCCCCUAUUGCAUUCUUAGUCGAUUAUUGUGAUUUAUUCUCCAUUAUACUUUAGACGAAGGACGAUAAUUUCUAUGUUAACAAACACAAACAGAGAGAAAUGGUCGAAGAGUAAUCUACUUGUGUUGUGCUUUUUUACUUGUGCAAUUUUUGUGCGCACUCACUAUUUUUAUUAACUAAAUUUAUUCUUAUUACUGGAUAAACGCGGGAGGGGGGGGGAGGUGAGGUCCACCACAUUAGGAAUUAGUAACAGACAAAACUUCAUUUCUAUUUCUUUGAUCGAGGCGAUAGCUGGUGGAAUCAUCUGAGAAAAAAGCGCCUCACCCUCAUUCAAUUUUUUGUAUUGCUCGUAAAGAACAACACUUCUCAACAGCCAAAAAAAAAUCAUGAAUUGAACUCAAAAGAGGUUCAAUUCAAUUGUGAUAAGAGAUGAUCCAAAUUCUAUAAAGUUAAAUACAGAUAAUCGAAUAAACUGCAAAGGCUAAAUAACAACUAAUAAAUUAAAUGUUGAACAGAAAGGAAUUAGCACAUCAAUCAUGUUUUUGUUAGCAUUUUAAUAAAAAUUAAUGAAUUGAACAAUAAUAUAGGUUCAAUUCAACUGUAAUCGACAAAUGAAAGUAACCAAACAAUCUCUAAUGACUAAAACAUAGCUAAAAAGUUAAAACCUUGAAUUAUAACACAUUCAGAAAGUUUGGAUGGAGGAGGCUUGAUGAAAACCUUUGAAAAAAAAUGAUUGUGAAAGUAAAACCCUGUUAGAGUAAAAAUGGAUGAGUUGAGUUGAAUAUAUAUAUAUAUAUAUAUAUAUAUAUAUAUAUAUAUAUUGUGUUGUGUAGAACUAUAUUGGAGAAAAAAUUUAUUUUAAUUAGAAAAAAUAUAUUCACGUAUAUGUUAUUUAAAACUAGUUUUUUGGCACGAGCUACGCACGUGUAUGACAAAUCAUGUAAUAUAUAAUUUUAUAAAUAAUUUUAGUUCAUUUGUUGUUGCCGCUGAAGAUGGUAAUAGGGUACUCACAUUCAUACCAUGACACAACUACAUUCUCCG
RNAcentral lists this long non-coding RNA (3763 nucleotides) under Capsicum annuum. RNAcentral describes it as "long non-coding RNA (CANN_LNC004221)". Lineage: Eukaryota; Viridiplantae; Streptophyta; Magnoliopsida; Solanales; Solanaceae. The record is from RNAcentral.